UACGUAGGGUGCGAGCGUUAAUCGGAAUUACUGGGCGUAAAGCGUGCGCAGGCGGUUUUGUAAGCCAGAUGUGAAAUCCCCGGGCUUAACCUGGGAAUGGCAUUUGGGACUGCAAGGCUUGAGUGCGGCAGAGGAGACUGGAAUUCCUGGUGUAGCAGUGAAAUGCGUAGAUAUCGGUAGGAACACCAGUGGCGAAGGCGGUCUCCUGGGGCAUUCUUGACGCUGAGGCGCGAAAGCUGGGGGAGCGAACGGG
Molecule: ribosomal RNA, 253 nt
Filed under: uncultured bacterium
Lineage: Bacteria
Description: partial 16S ribosomal RNA
Rfam family: Bacterial small subunit ribosomal RNA
Source: RNAcentral